UAGGGAAUCUUCCGCAAUGGACGCAUGUCUGACGGAGCAACGCCGCGUGAGUGAAGAAGGAUAUCGGUUCGUAAAACUCUGUUGUUAGAGAAGAACAUCGCAUAGAGUAACUGUUAUGCGUGUGACGGUAUCUAACCAGAAAGCCACGGCUAACUACGUGCCAGCAGCCGCGGUAAUACGUAGGUGGCAAGCGUUGUCCGGAUUUAUUGGGCGUAAAGCGAGCGCAGGCGGUCAAUUAAGUCUGAUGUGAAAGCCCCCUGCUCCACCGGGGAGGGUCAUUGGAAACUGGUUGAAUUGAGUGCAGAAGAGGAGAGCGGAAUUCCAUGUGUAGCGGUGACAUGCGUAGAUAUAUGGAGGAACACCAGUGGCGAAGGCGACUCUCUGGUCAGUAACUGACGCUGAGGCUCGAAAGCGUGGGUAGCAAACAGG
Molecule: ribosomal RNA, 429 nt
Filed under: Bacteroidota bacterium
Lineage: Bacteria; Pseudomonadati; Bacteroidota
Description: Bacteroidetes bacterium partial 16S ribosomal RNA
Rfam family: Bacterial small subunit ribosomal RNA
Source: RNAcentral